AGUAACGGCGAGUGAACAGGGAAAAGCCCAAAUUUGUAAUCUGGCACUUUUUACAAGUGUCCGAGUUGUAAUUUGUAGAGCUGUUAUCCGUACUGGACCAUGUACAAGUCUGUUGAAAAGCAGCAUCAUUGAAGGUGAAAAUCCUGUAGAUGAUAUGGACUACCAGUAUAUUUGUGAUACGGUUUCUAAGAGUCGAGUUGUUUGGGAAUGCAGCUCAAAGUGGGUGGUAAAUUCCAUCUAAGGCUAAAUAUAAGUGAGAGACCGAUAGCAAACAAGUACCGUGAGGGAAAGAUGAAAAGAACUUUGAAAAUAGAGUUAACAGUACGUGAAAUUGCUGAAAGGGAAACGUUUGAAGUUAGUUUUGUAUUCGUUGGAUCAGCUUCGCAAGGAGUGUAUUCUGAUGAUAAGCAAGUCAACAUCAGUCUAUGAGUGUUGGAUAAGGGUUUUGAGAAUGUAGCAAUUUAAUUGUGUUAUAGCUUGAGACUUGGAUACVAUGCUUUGGAUUGAGGAACGCGUAGUAAGCUUUGAGCGGAUUCGAAAGGAUCUCCUUACUAUGGAUGUUGGUGAAAUAACUUUAACACGACCCAUCUU
Molecule: ribosomal RNA, 591 nt
Filed under: Melampsora salicis-sinicae
Lineage: Eukaryota; Fungi; Basidiomycota; Pucciniomycetes; Pucciniales; Melampsoraceae
Description: partial large subunit ribosomal RNA
Rfam family: Eukaryotic large subunit ribosomal RNA
Source: RNAcentral